UACGUAGGGCGCAAGCGUUAUCCGGAAUUAUUGGGCGUAAAGGGCUCGUAGGCGGUUUGUCGCGUCGGGAGUGAAAACUCAGGGCUUAACCCUGAGCCUGCUUCCGAUACGGGCAGACUAGAGGUAUGCAGGGGAGAACGGAAUUCCUGGUGUAGCGGUGAAAUGCGCAGAUAUCAGGAGGAACACCGGUGGCGAAGGCGGUUCUCUGGGCAUUACCUGACGCUGAGGAGCGAAAGUGUGGGGAGCGAACAGG
Molecule: ribosomal RNA, 253 nt
Filed under: uncultured bacterium
Lineage: Bacteria
Description: partial 16S ribosomal RNA
Rfam family: Bacterial small subunit ribosomal RNA
Source: RNAcentral